This 234-nucleotide small RNA is filed under the name Arabidopsis thaliana (thale cress). RNAcentral's name for it is "ATSL101810". Lineage: Eukaryota; Viridiplantae; Streptophyta; Magnoliopsida; Brassicales; Brassicaceae. The record is from RNAcentral.
ACAAAGUACAAAGUUUAUGUUUAAAGCACCACAAAUUGCGAAGUCGUGAUUUAAAUGACAUUUUUCCCGUUCUGGUUAAACUAAGUUUCUAUUAUUUAAUAUGGAUAUUGUGGAGCGUAGUGUCAGCACUCAGCAGCUUAUUUAACGUGAUACUCUUUAACCGAGUAACAACUAGUGAGGUCAUAUUCAGGACCGAUCCAACAAUAUUGAGGGUUUUACUCCAAGUAAAAUUUU